CGUCGCGUCCGGGUUGUCACUCUCUCGGGUUGUUAGUCUGUAGCUUUCCGGCUCGCGAAAGGGAGGACCUGUCUGGGUCAUGGAUUUUGAGAAUCUUUUCUCAAAACCCCCCAACCCGGCCCUCGGCAAAACGGCCACGGACUCUGACGAAAGAAUCGAUGAUGAAAUAGAUACAGAAGUUGAAGAAACACAAGAAGAUAAAAUUAAACUGGAGUGUGAGCAAAUUCCCAAAAAAGUAAGAUUAAGUUGACCACUGUUUAAGUUGAAAACGCAGAUUUUUUUUUCUCAGUUUCACAUGGAACAACAAAAAAAGAAAAAA
This 319-nucleotide small RNA is filed under the name Pan troglodytes (chimpanzee). Its description in RNAcentral is "retained intron". Lineage: Eukaryota; Metazoa; Chordata; Mammalia; Primates; Hominidae. The record is from RNAcentral.